Ancylostoma ceylanicum is the source of this 46-nucleotide non-coding RNA. The record is from Rfam. Lineage: Eukaryota; Metazoa; Nematoda; Chromadorea; Rhabditida; Ancylostomatidae.
CCAACGGCCCUCUUUAGGGCCACAAUUACACACGAAUACUCAAAUG